GACGAACGCUGGCGGCGUGCUUAACACAUGCAAGUCGAACGGUGAACUCCGCUUGCGGGGGGAUCAGUGGCGAACGGGAGAGUAACACGUGGGCAACCUGCCCUCAGCUCUGGGAUAACUCUAAGCAAUUGGGGCUAAUACUGGAUAUGGCCGCUGACCGCAUGGUCUGGUGGUGGGAAGAUUUAUCGGCUGGGGAUUGGCCCGCGGUCUAUCAGCUUGUUGGUGGGUUAGUGGCCUACCACGGCGCCGACGGGUAGCCGGCCUGCGAGGGUGACCGGCCACACUGGGACUGAGACACGGCCCAGACUCCUACGGGAGGCAGCAGUGGGGAAUAUUGCGCAAUGGGCGACAGCCUGACGCAGCGACGCCGCGUGGGGGAUGACGGCCUUCGGGUUGUAAACCUCUUUCAGCAGGGACGAAGCGAAAGUGACGUUACCUGCAGAAGAAGCACCGGCCAACUACGUG
RNAcentral lists this ribosomal RNA (465 nucleotides) under uncultured bacterium. RNAcentral's name for it is "partial 16S ribosomal RNA". It matches the Rfam family "Bacterial small subunit ribosomal RNA", at positions 28 to 507 of the family's 1533-position model. The record is from RNAcentral.